AUUGAACGCUGGCGGAAUGCAUUACACAUGCAAGUCGAACGGCAGCACGGGGGCAACCCUGGUGGCGAGUGGCGAACGGGUGAGUAAUACAUCGGAACGUGCCCAGUCGUGGGGGAUAACGUAGCGAAAGUUACGCUAAUACCGCAUACGAUCUACGGAUGAAAGCGGGGGACCGUAAGGCCUUGCGCGAUUGGAGCGGCCGAUGUCAGAUUAGGUAGUUGGUGAGGUAAAGGCUCACCAAGCCGACGAUCUGUAGCUGGUCUGAGAGGACGACCAGCCACACUGGGACUGAGACACGGCCCAGACUCCUACGGGAGGCAGCAGUGGGGAAUUUUGGACAAUGGGCGCAAGCCUGAUCCAGCCAUUCCGCGUGCAGGACGAAGGCCUUCGGGUUGUAAACUGCUUUUGUACGGAACGAAAAGGCUCUGGUUAAUACCUGGGGCUCAUGACGGUACCGUAAGAAUAAGCACCGGCUAACUACGUGCCAGCAGCCGCCGUAA
RNAcentral lists this ribosomal RNA (500 nucleotides) under uncultured bacterium. RNAcentral's name for it is "partial 16S ribosomal RNA". It matches the Rfam family "Bacterial small subunit ribosomal RNA", at positions 30 to 523 of the family's 1533-position model. The record is from RNAcentral.